Molecule: long non-coding RNA, 3877 nt
Organism: Numida meleagris (helmeted guineafowl)
Lineage: Eukaryota; Metazoa; Chordata; Aves; Galliformes; Numididae
Exons: 2
Source: RefSeq, a predicted model, not a curated record
GGCCCGGCCCCGCCGCGGCUCCUCGGGCUGUGCGGUCCGCCGGGCCCGGUUCCGCCGUGCUGGAGCUCUCGCUUCUCUUGUGCUUAAGGGUGUAGCAAAGAGUGGCGCGGGCCCGGCCGCCGGGUUGUGAGGCCGAGAAGCGAUGUGCGCGCUGGCAGAUAGGUGCGCUUCGCUGCUCAGCGCUGCGGCCCCUGCUUGUGGGGCCGGGCUCGGGCGUUCGGCAGCGCAGACGGAGGAGGCCAAGCCGGGUGCUGUCCUCGCGUCCCCUUCUCCCUCGCUCACGAUGUUUCUGAGUGAAAACUGCCAGGUGCGGCCUGCACCCCGCGGACGGGUUCCUCCUUCCUGCUGGAGGAGAUGCGCUCGGUUACAGGUCGCCCGGUGAGAGGACACUUACAGUAAAGAGCCUCACAUAUGGCCGAGGGGUGACUUUAAAGAUACGCAGGGGAAAAAGAAGACUUCUUGAGCACAGCGAGGGGGUACAGCACUGGGAUAUUCUUCUAGUAUCGGGCCAUUGCUGUCAGCUGCUUCUGGAUAGCGGUAGGCCAGCUCAGGUCUGCAAUGGCUAGACGGUCCCUUUUUGUGAAACAGCAUUAAUUCCUCAAGAGGAAAAGCCGAAAACCCUAUGGACGAACUUGGUCUGCCCUUUUCAAUUGCCUCCUAUCAGCCUGAGGUGCUGAAAUGCAUUAAAGAGAUGGCGAACUUCCAGGAAUUAGUGUUGGUCUUGGGUCCUUCAGUCAGUUCUCUCUCCGUCAAUCCAGGAGCACCUCCUGCUCCAGGCGCUGCCUGGCGCUGCCUGCAGUCUCUGUGUCCCUGUGCUACCAGCCUUCCAGGCCCGUGUUCCUCCUUAAAACCAACACGUCGGUAUCCUUGAGAACGUUACACCAAGGUGAAGUGCAGGGAAGCUCAGCAAAAUAUGUCACUAGCUCUGUGUUGCAUGUGGGAAAUACAGUGUUAACUUGGCCUUCUGUGUGUCUCACUGCUGCUUUAUUUCGUAUUUCUGCAUUAUUUCCUGAGUCUGGAACAUGUCUGCAGGGCUAGUUGGUGCACUCUGUCACUGGAUCACACACAGCUUACUAAGACAGGAGGAUUAUGCCCAUCAAGCCAUUGUUUUAGUGUUUUGUUGUGUAUCUGCAGAGAAAGCUGGGCUGAAGCUUGCACUGAACUGGUGCUCAGUGCUCCUGGCAGAGGGGUGCUUUGUUCUCCUGUCUCACCACAAAUGCUGGUGGGCAGUGUUUGCGCUGCUUUGCUGGAAGGCUUGGUCUUCCCAACUGCGUCUGGUUUUUAGUUUUUUAUUUUUAAUUUUCUGGGAGCUUUUGCUGCAUCAGAACUCAGAGCAGUAACUAACUUUGAAUGAGAACUUCUCUUUUAGGUUUCUGUCAGCCCAACCGAGUUUGCUAUCAGCCAGACUUGCUGAUGAUGAGCAGCAGCUUAUUCCUUUGUGAAUAAAAUCACCAUUGAAAUCCUAGCCCUCAGAAAAUUCUUUGGGCUGAACUUGUCAUGGCAGUGUUUUGUCACAAGCAUCCUUAUUUCUGUGACUGUAAAAUCUCCUUAACAUUGAGAAGAGUGUGCUUUUUUUUUUUUUUUUUUUUUUCCCUCAAGACCUCCUUUUGGGAAUGUAUUUCUGCGACGUCUCCGGUGGGAGACGUCUGUCCUUGCUGUGACUCAGGCACGUAGGGGCUGUGUUAGCUCAACGCUCAGCCUGACCUCAGAAGGUCAUCAAACACAGUUGUAUUUCUGUACAACUUGUAUCAGACACUACAGGUGAUGUCCACACUUGGAGCAAUGUGCCUGGAGUGUCAGAGGAAGAUGUUUAGGACUUCUGGUUGAAGGUCAUGAAAACAGACUUCCAGAGAGGGGUCUUGGUUUGUGAGAACUGGUAAUGGUGUAACGCAGAACCAGGCUGCCGGUGCCAGCCUUGCUUGUGUUUUACUGCACCUUAGACUGAAGGAGGAUAAGAGCUGUCUGCCUGUUGAGCAGGAGCUUUACUAGAACCCUAAGGAAAAGUGUUGUUGACAUAAAGAUCCUGUUAAAAUGAACAAAUCUUCAGACUAAUUUUCUCUCCUUAAAUUGGGGAAACAACUAGUUAGCUCAAGCUGAAGAGGAGGAGGAAUCAGGCUUCCUCGUUCCGUGAGCUUUCGGGUUCUGGGCACAGUCCAUCAUCAGUGGCCCAGUUCAGGAGUCUGGGGAGCUGCUGCGGGGAAAGGGAACCAAAGCUAUAUCUGCUGCGUGCCCUCCUGUUGGAAGAUGCUCCUUCUGUGUAAGAAGAGGAUGGUGUGGCUUCUGCACAGGACAAGACAUUGGGAAAAACAGGAGAUGCCCCCUGCUUAGCUGGGACUUGUCUGCUGACCAAGCCAGAGCUUCUUGGCGCUGAUACAAAGUGCAGCAAUUGUCCUCUAUAAGCUUGCCCAGCUGCUUCGCACGAUGUUCUUCAGUUCUGCCUGUCUGCCCUUUCUCCUCUGCUUCCUCCUUUGUCAGAAGUCAGACACGUGGCUGCAGUAACGCAGGUCUCGCUAAACAUCAGCUGAGGCUGCUCCCUUCAAGUUUUAUCAGUAGCAGUGGGGCUACUUGGUGUAGGCUUCUCGGCUCGUCAUGAUGCAGGGAGGUUUUUUAAAGCAGGUCAAGAUUGUUUUGCUGAUUGGUGUGGCUGGGGUAGGAGCGAGACAGUGCAUUGCUUCCUUCCUCUUGCCCUUGCAGUAGUUGUUUCAGCUUUCAUGCAGCUAAAGCUCUUAAGCAGCAGGGAAUCUAAUACAAAUUAUUUUGUAUUGCAUUUUCCCGUAGAAUAUAACCACUUUAAACUGUGGUGUUCUGCGUGGAGUUGUUUGGUGAUGACAGUUCAUAACUGUCUGAAAAUUACUGUGAGUAUUAGAGCAUCUGUCUGGUGUGUUUAGCUAGGUACAGCCUUGUGCAAGCUGCAUUCAAAGCUUUGUCACAGUAAUGGAUUUGGUGCUUACUUUAAAGGGGAAGGAUGUGCUUUGGGCAAUUUCUUCCCACUUGUGCAGGGGAGAUGUGUGCACACUCAUUAGGACAGUGACGUUGGUUUUAGUCCAGACAAGGGAUGUGUAUAAUUUACUAUUUAGUUAAAUAUGGUUUUUCUUAUAUAUUGUUUCCAUGGUUGCUUGCCCUCAAGCCCCUGGUGGUUUCUCUGCGGUUUUCUACUUCUCUAUUGAUAGGCUUUUGUCAAUGCCCUGCUCUUUUCUUUCUUUCCCCUAGAUUAAUGAAUAUUUUUUGAUGGCCCUCUAAGUCUUUUCAUCUAUUUUUCUCCAUUUCCCCACUCUCCAGCCCAAGUGUAUUUCAUAAAGUUUCUUCCCAGCGCUUUCCCCAGCUCAUUUUUAGUACCAAAUGAGCUGUUAGCGUGAGAUUGCUUUUUUUGUCCCAUGGCUUCUGGAUUUUUUUGAGCUGUGGUCGGCAUUUUAGAAUAACCACUAUUGCUGCAAGGACCCCCAGUGAUAGUUAUCACUCCUGGGUGCUGCUGGCUGGCUCAGCUGUCUUCUUUGCAGCCCUUCUAUACCCACCUGCUUGCUCAGCCUUGCGUUGUCCCAGGGUUCAUCUAGAUGCUGAAUUUGUAAUGCAGGCUUCUUUAUUAAGAAGAUAAGAUUGUCGACAAGGUUAAUGCUGCGUGGAGCUUGAAUAUGGCGGAGGGAAUCCCCCUGGAGAUAUUAAGGAUUUAUCUUAAAUGCAUUUAAUCUGUUUUUAUACACUGUGCAGUGAAAUUUGCUCUCGAUUAUACUGGCUAGUGUAAUUGCAGAUUAAGUAUAUCCGUGGGAUGUAACUAUUAACAAUAUAUUCUUAAAUUACACCACGUAUGUGCCAGUGUUGUACUCAGUCAUUUCAUGAUCUCUGUCUUCCUUAAAAAAAAAAAAAAAAGAGUAGACUUACA